AAAUGACUCUCGGCAACGGAUAUCUCGGCUCUUGCAUCGAUGAAGAACGUAGCAAAAUGCGAUACGUGGUGUGAAUUGCAGAAUUCUGUGAACCAUCGAGUUUUUGAACGCAAGUUGCGCCCAAUGUCAUUUGGCUGAGGGCACGUCUGCCUGGGCGUCACGC
RNAcentral lists this ribosomal RNA (163 nucleotides) under Elatostema sp. Tseng 1285. RNAcentral's name for it is "5.8S ribosomal RNA". It matches the Rfam family "5.8S ribosomal RNA". From Rfam's summary of the family: 5.8S ribosomal RNA (5.8S rRNA) is a component of the large subunit of the eukaryotic ribosome. It is transcribed by RNA polymerase I as part of the 45S precursor that also contains 18S and 28S rRNA. Lineage: Eukaryota; Viridiplantae; Streptophyta; Magnoliopsida; Rosales; Urticaceae. The record is from RNAcentral. RNAcentral also lists the same sequence under 6 other names.